GACGGCUCCCGCGCACGGCCAAUCCGCGAAGCCGCGCCUGCGCACGAGAGUCCGCGGGAGGAGUCAGGGGGCGGGGAAAUGGACGAAGCCGCCAGAGACAGCGCCUCCUGCUGUCUAAACGAAAGCUACGCCUUUGUCGGCCAAGAGCACCUGAGAUUUAUGCAAUGAGACCCAGAGAUGUCUGGGCUUUCCUAAAGUAGUGCAGUACGCCAGCAGUCUCAACUGUAAGAAGUGCCAUGAUGAUUCUUCCAAAAGAAUGUUCCGAUUUAUUUUGAGGAGUGCUGUCAACACAUUUGUCACCACCAUCCAUGUUAGGAGGGCAGAGGUGGCUUCUCUUACCACAUUUGAACAGAGAAAAGAUGCUUCUUGGGCCUACAGUUCCACUGGAGAAUGGCUGAAGACUGUGGAAAGCAAAGGAAGUACCCUGCCAGGUGGUGAGGUACAAGAGGGAAGCUGCCUCCUGCCCCCGCCCCCAGGGAA
Molecule: long non-coding RNA, 480 nt
Organism: Chinchilla lanigera (long-tailed chinchilla)
Lineage: Eukaryota; Metazoa; Chordata; Mammalia; Rodentia; Chinchillidae
Exons: 3
Source: RefSeq, a predicted model, not a curated record